AUGCUUUACCGGAGAGGCAGCGCCAGCUUAUCAGGACAAAUCGUGCUGGAAGAGCAGGUCGCGGUUUUCCAGUGCUAUGCUGACACAUGCUCGCUAGCCUAUCCCAGACGAGCCAGGCAAGGGCGCAGACGAAGCAGAGGGAGGUGUAAGAGAUGUGUGCGAGCUACGCGAGGAGCUACGCACGGCAGGGUACAUAUCAGAUGCCCGCCUUGUGCUGCACGACAUGUACCCAGCAAACGCCUCGCCAUCACGUUCGGGCUGGUGAGCAUGCCACACGGCCAUCUUUUUUGGUAUUUUCUUCUCUCCGUCCAUCUGUCUGCUUAA
Molecule: ribosomal RNA, 324 nt
Filed under: Triticum aestivum (bread wheat)
Lineage: Eukaryota; Viridiplantae; Streptophyta; Magnoliopsida; Poales; Poaceae
Description: partial small subunit ribosomal RNA
Source: RNAcentral